RNAcentral lists this long non-coding RNA (378 nucleotides) under Canis lupus familiaris (dog). RNAcentral's name for it is "lncRNA (ENSCAFG00000057733.1)". Lineage: Eukaryota; Metazoa; Chordata; Mammalia; Carnivora; Canidae. The record is from RNAcentral.
AUCUGCAAGAGGUUUGCUGUGGUGGGAGCUGUGUGGCUGAGGCUCUAACAGUCUGAGAGGGCAGCUGGAUCCAAGGGAUUAGAGGUCAUGAUAGCUGAGCCUGUCACUUGGCAGGAGGAAACCCGAAGAUGCAGAUGUAGAUGGUCUACAGUCUUCAACGAAUUCAUUGUUCUCUGGAUUCCGUUGGGGCUCAGCCCAUGGCAAACCCAGAAGGAAACCAAAGGGAGGAAGGGAAGCAGGGAGAAAUUGUGUUGCUGCUACAAGAGGAUGGCAGAGAGCUGUGUGAAGAGCACAGAGGAUUUGCUGGAUGCCUCCUACUACUACUCAAUUGUCCAAUCAUUCUUGUCAAUGGGGAGUGGUAGCCACAGAAUAAAAUAA